RNAcentral lists this non-coding RNA (30 nucleotides) under Mus musculus (house mouse). Lineage: Eukaryota; Metazoa; Chordata; Mammalia; Rodentia; Muridae. The record is from RNAcentral.
UGUUCGAUUCUUUUUGGUACACAAAGACUC